This 788-nucleotide ribosomal RNA is filed under the name uncultured euryarchaeote. RNAcentral's name for it is "bacterial SSU rRNA". It matches the Rfam family "Archaeal small subunit ribosomal RNA", at positions 85 to 876 of the family's 1478-position model. The record is from RNAcentral. Lineage: Archaea; Methanobacteriati; Methanobacteriota.
ACGGCUCAGUAACACGUAGGUAACCUACCCUUCGGACGGGCACAACCCCGGGAAACUGGGGCUAAUUCCCGAUAGGUACCCCCUUCUGGAAUGUGGGGAUAUCCAAAGCUCCGGCGCCGAAGGAUGGGCCUGCGGCCGAUUAGGUUGUUGGCGGGGUAACAGCCCACCAAGCCGACGAUCGGUACGGGCAGUGAGAGCUGUAGCCCGGAGAUGGGGACUGAGACAAGGCCCCAGGCCCUACGGGGCGCAGCAGGCGCGAAACCUUCACAAUGCACGAAAGUGUGAUGAGGGUACUCCGAGUGCGCAUACAUUGUAUGUGCUUUUCUGCAGCGCAAAUAGUUGCAGGAAUAAGGGCUGGGCAAGACCGGUGCCAGCCGCCGCGGUAACACCGGCAGCCCUAGUGGUGGCCGCUUUUACUGGGCCUAAAGCGUCCGUAGCCGGACAGGCGAGUCUUUGGGUAAAUCCUACGUCUUAAGCGUGGGAAUUCUAAAGAUACUACCUGUCUUGAGGCCGGGAGAGGCUGGAGGUACUCCUGGGGUAGGGGUAAAAUCCUAUAAUCCUGGGGGGACCACCGAUGGCGAAGGCAUCCAGCUGGAACGGGCCUGACGGUGAGGGACGAAACCCAGGGGAGCGAGCCGGAUUAGAUACCCGGGUAGUCCUGGGCGUAAAUGAUGUGGGCUUGGUGUGAGCGCAUCGACGAGGUGCGCUUGUGCCGUAGGGAAGCCGUUAAGCCCACCGCCUGGGGAGUACGGUCGCAAGGCUGAAACUUAAAGGAAUUGGCGGGGGAG